GACGAACGCUGGCGGCGUGCCUAACACAUGCAAGUCGAACGAGGUCCAUGCAGUGGCAACACUGCGGACGACCUAGUGGCGAACGGGUGAGUAACACGUGAGGAACUUGCCCCGGAGACUGGGAUAAGCCCCCGAAAGGGGGUCUAAUACCGGAUGUCCUCACCGAGUCGCAUGGCUUGGUGAGGAAAUGGAUUCCGCUCCGGGAGAGCCGCGCGGCCUAUCAGCUUGUUGGUGGGGUAACGGCCCACCAAGGCAUCGACGGGUAGCUGGUCUGAGAGGACGAUCAGCCACACUGGGACUGAGACACGGCCCAGACUCCUACGGGAGGCAGCAGUGGGGAAUCUUGCGCAAUGGGCGAAAGCCUGACGCAGCAACGCCGCGUGCGGGAUGAAGGCCCUCGGGUUGUAAACCGCUUUCAGUGGGGACGAACCAAGACGGUACCCACAGAAGAAGGUCCGGCCAACUACGUGCCAGCAGCCGCCGUAA
Molecule: ribosomal RNA, 486 nt
Filed under: uncultured bacterium
Lineage: Bacteria
Description: partial 16S ribosomal RNA
Rfam family: Bacterial small subunit ribosomal RNA
Source: RNAcentral